CAGUCGAGCGGACAGAUGGGAGCUUGCUCCCUGAUGUUACGGCGGACGGCUGAGUAACACGUGGAUAACCUGCCUGUAAGAGUGGGAUAACUCCUGGAAACCGGGGGCUAAUACCGGAUGCUUGUUUGAACCGCAUGGUUCAAACAUAAAGGGUGCCUUCUCCUCCCUUUAACUUGGGGACCGCGAUCCGAAAUGAUAAUGGUGAAGGGGGGGUGGCUCAACGCCACGAUGCCUAUCCCACCUGAUAGGGCGAUCGGCCCCCCUGUGAAUGACACGUCAUCCAGACUCCUACGGGGGGGACGUGCAGGGAAUCUUCCGCAGGGGAGUAAAGGGCGACGGACCAACGCCGCGUGAGUGAUGACUGGUUCGGAUCAUAAAGCUCUGUUGUUAUGGAAGAACUUAUCCCGUUCUAAUAGGGCGGGACC
Molecule: ribosomal RNA, 425 nt
Filed under: Bacillus sp. IACARI 5
Lineage: Bacteria; Bacillati; Bacillota; Bacilli; Caryophanales; Bacillaceae
Description: partial 16S ribosomal RNA
Rfam family: Bacterial small subunit ribosomal RNA
Source: RNAcentral